GAUGAACGCUGGCGGCGUGCCUAAUACAUGCAAGUCGAACGAAGAAUGUAGCAAUACUUUCUUAGUGGCGAACGGGUGAGUAACGCGUUGGUGACCUGCCCCGAAGAGGGGGAUAACAGUUCGAAAGAGCUGCUAAUACCCCAUGUGAUCUCUAGGAUUAGAUGCCUGUUGAUGAAAAGGGAUUUAUCUCGCUUCGGGAGGGACCUGCGUCCCAUCAGCUAGUUGGUAGGGUAAUGGCCUACCAAGGCGAUGACGGGUAGGGGACCUGAGAGGGUGACCCCCCACACUGACACUGAAACACGGGUCAGACACCUACGGGUGGCUG
This 325-nucleotide ribosomal RNA is filed under the name uncultured Chloroflexota bacterium. RNAcentral's name for it is "bacterial SSU rRNA". It matches the Rfam family "Bacterial small subunit ribosomal RNA", at positions 28 to 351 of the family's 1533-position model. The record is from RNAcentral. Lineage: Bacteria; Bacillati; Chloroflexota.